AUUGAACGCUGGCGGCAUGCCUUACACAUGCAAGUCGAACGGCAGCACGGGGGCGAACCCUCGGUGGCGAGUGGCGAACGGGUGAGUAACAUAUCGGAACGUGCCCUGGAGUGGGGGAGUAACUAGUCGAAAGACUAGCUAAUACCGCAUACGAUCUACGGAUGAAAGUGGGGGAUCGCAAGACCUCAUGCUCGUGGAGCGGCCGAUAUCUGAUUAGCAGUUGGUGGGGUAAAGGCCUACCAAGGCAUCGAUCAGUAGCUGGUCUGAGAGGACGACCAGCCACACUGGGACUGAGACACGGCCCAGACUCCUACGGGAGGCAGCAGUGGGGAAUUUUGGACAAUGGGGGCAACCCUGAUCCAGCAAUGCCGCGUGA
This 376-nucleotide ribosomal RNA is filed under the name uncultured bacterium. RNAcentral's name for it is "bacterial SSU rRNA". It matches the Rfam family "Bacterial small subunit ribosomal RNA", at positions 30 to 404 of the family's 1533-position model. The record is from RNAcentral.